CAAGUAGGGACGGAGGCCUCAGUCCCUAAGAGCUCUAAGAGCUGACUAAUGAUUUCUUAGGUGGCUUCAGAUGCCAAAAGGGGUGAUUAUACGGGGGGUGCCUGGUGCAGUGCGUACAGUAGGACACACCUGGAUGGUUGUGUUAUCUUCAGUAUGGAGGAGGUGGUGCACGGAAGCUUCCUUUUGCCUACAACUCUGGCCGUCCCCUUGAGUUGGGUGGGAUUUGGGCAGGGACCGUAGCUGGAGGCUCAUAGAUGUCUCUUGGGGGAGGAAGAAGUGAUGCUCAAAUGAUGGCAUCUUAGAGUUACCCACGUGUGGGACUCUCAGGGCUCUAGGAGGUGCACCUAGAGGAGGCUUGAUGUCCCUAGUGCUGUCUGUCCUAUGGCCAGCCCAUCUGACACAGCUGGGGACCGUUUUCCAAGGUCCGGAGGCUGUGGAUGAUCAGAACUUUGGAACCAUGGGAUUCACCACAGAGAAUCUGCGUGUUGGGACAUUUCCUUGGGGGCCCUGAAGGGGGAAGCCAUCAGAAUGUCUCAGCUACUGUUCUGGUUGUUUGGGUAAAGAGCUCCCUGUUGGAGCCUUGUAAGGCGCUCCAGCUUGCGGCCAUGUGGAAAGGCUGGGAUUGAUUAAUUCUGUCUGGUUUGUGAGACACUCUACCCUCUUUGCCUCUCCCCACCCAGGAAACCACAUGAACUGUCAAGGCGGGUCCAAUUACAAUUCAUGGUAAUUGGAGGGAGAGAGGGACUCCUGAGGAGGCAGUGACUUGUGCUUUUGCUCUGUGAAGGAGAGGUUUCUUUGCUGUGAGGAGUCGAGGCAAGUAGCAAUUAAGGGCCUCCUCCUUACACCUUAUUAAAUGACCACCAACUCCAGGUGACCACGGCUUCCCUGUAGGCAUCCUGGUUCCCGAGGGCACAUCCACCCUCUGCCACCCAAGUGGAGAGUUUCACUCCAAGGCUGUAAUCCUUAAAGGGUGGUCCACGGACCACCUAGAGUUCAUGUAAAAAUUGUAGCUUCCUGGGCCUUGCCUAGACCGGCUGAACCAAGUACACUGGGCUCAGAGCCCAGGAACCUGCAUUUCUAGCAAGCUCCCGCCUUAAUUUUUAGGUAACACCAGAGACCUCUGCGAAGGAUUACCUGGGAAUAUUGUUGCUUCAGCCUGAACGGCAGGAGUUCAGCUAAACAAACUCAACUCCUUCAUUCCCAUUCACUCCUCCUCUGGGACGUCCUGCUGAUGCUUCGUCUCCUUUGUUAGGCUUAGACCGCAAAUUCACUAGCUCUCCAAGAUGUGAGCCAAGCAUCUCUUUUGGACCCCAGACCCAGAGGGGGAAUAUGAAUAGAGGAAAGGAAAGAAAGGAAAGCAAAUCUCCUCUUGCUUCUCUGACUGUGAUUGUUUUUGGCUUUGGAGCAGGUGGGCCCGUCGACUGUCUGCAAGGCUGUGUUGAAGCAGUAUUGCAGUGAUAAUGGUGGAAGCCACUUUUCUCAUCCCGGGCAUGCGGAGGGGUGUCUGUAUCAGGCGGCCCAUCCUGCCCUCCAGUCCCUCCGGGCCUGCUGAGGGCCCGCCUCGCCACUGAGCACAAACAUCUGUGUCCUGCAGUGACCUGCCCGCUCUGUUGUUUGGUUUCCUGUGGAGGGAGGGCUUUCCAGUGUUGUGUAUCCUGCCUCGCCUGGCUCCUCUCCCUGUCCCACCUUAGUGACCUCUGGUCCUCUGCACUCAGUUGAGCCAAAUCCUGACUGUGGGCUGUUGUCUGGGUUCUAGCUUUCAUCCAGACAGCGUGACAAGAGGAGUUUGGGUUGGCCCUAAACUGUGUGAACGCCUCCUCAGUUAUGGCCCUCGAUUGUUUCAGCCUGAGGGUCUGCCAGCAGCAGUGUGUUCUGCUGGCACGGGCUCAAACUGCCCCCUUGAGACAGGGGUCCCAGCAGCAGGAAGCUAGAAGGCCUGUAGGACUGAGCUCAACAGGCAAUUCCCCAAUGACUCCACACCACUAGGGGUCCUCUCGGGGGUUCUAGGUCCAGAAACCCUCUGGCAGCCUCUCUGCCUAGUGGGAGUUCUGCAGGGGAGAUGUGGCGCUGUGGAGGUCAUGGCGUUGAAGUGGAUCAGGGGCUUCAGAAAUGGGAGGGCAUUGAGUCUGGUAGGGAAGCCGUCAAGGGAGCCACAACAGGUCUGCUGUUGUCAGAGUGGACUAGGGUUACAAGAAGGAUGGGUAUAGAGGGGGUGAGAUUUUAGAAAAAGGAUCUCCAGAGCGCUGAACCUGGAGGCCCAGAGAAGAUGAACUCUUCCAGUCAGUACAACGUAACUUUAAAAAGGUAAAAAUAAAAUCCGAUCAGGGCAAGUUUCUAGUCGAAUAAAUGCUUGCGCUCUUUUCUGAAGGCCUUGAGGAUUGGUGCAGCCUGGGUUAGCAUCUGGUUCGUUUAUGUAGCAAAAACUAUGGAAAUGUUCUUACCCUUGGGCUGGAUAAUUCUACCCCCAGGAUAGUGUCCUGAGGAAACUGUCCAACUAAAACAAAGUAAUGCUUCAGAAUAUUCUCUGCUCUCCAUAGGAGCAGAAGGAAGGCUUCUGUGUCUCACUAACGUCAGGGGAGGAAUUUUACAAACCGUCCUGACACGUGAUAGUGGUGGAGCAUAUUUUCAGCCUUUAAAUGACAUUUAGGAAGAUUACACAGGAAUGAAAUGUUCAACAGACGGUUGAAAGUAGGAGAACUUUAUGGAGCAUUAUAAUCGGUUGCAACUGUAAAACCCACGUAAACAGGAAGAUUACGUACAAAAGUGAAAAUGGCUGUGUUGAAGUUGUAGGAUUAAAUACUUAAAAAAAAUAGUACUCAAAUUUUAUAGCAAGUCAGAGAAUUGCUAUCUGAGGCAACAUCCUGCUUCAGAUGUUUUUCUGCUAUCACCUGUCCUUUUUCUUGAGGAAUGGCAGCUCAGUGAGAUCUGACUGUCUGUUCUGAGCGCUUUGGUGUGUGCUGUGCACUGCUGAGCCCCGUGGAGCACACAGAGGGGGUAAGACAUGGUCCCCUGAGCCUGAGAGCUCAGGGGGAGGUUUCUUCUCCCUGGGGAGACACGAUGUGCUGGGCAAGCUGAUUAGUGCUGGGUGCUGAGGCUUGGCCCUAGCACGGCCAGGGACCGUGGGGAGGGGAGGGGGCAGGUGGGUGGAUGGUCUGGGCCUUCAGCCGGGAGUUGGAAGGAUCUGUAGGACCAGGGAGCAACCAGCCUGGCAGCUGGGAAGCCUGCAAAACCCAGCAAGAAGAGUCCAGUUCUCCUGAGAUGGGUUCUAUCCAGGUCCUCGCCGCUUUGACUGAGAUCAGAGUUAUUUAAAUAAAUGCCUGUGAUUCACCCCAUUUCUAGAGACUGGGAACUGAAGUCCAGGAAGCGAACUCUUCCAGUAAUCUCCGGAGUCCCCUGGGACAGGGCUGUUGCACAGGCCCGCUCCCGGCGUGUUGGCUGUGCCCCGUCUGCAAGCCCCACGCGUGCCCUCCCCAGGGGCAAAUCCCCUGCUCAGGAUCCACUCCUGGGAGGCUGCCCUUUGGUUCCUUUUGGGUUGGCAGUGGGGGAUCAGUGUUCCUUCCCCAGUGAUCUCUCCUUUUAGAUCUUUCCCUGGCCUGCAGGGGUGCUGGGCACUGCUGGGAGGCCGCCCAUCCCCAUUUUCCAUUUGGAGACCUUGACAUUUUGUUUAAGAGGGGGUGUGAUUGAGAGCGUGUGAGGGUGAGAACCGGAGGUGCUGGCUCCUUAAGGCUUGGCCUUCAAGUGAAUUUUGGCAGAAGGGACACUGAAUGUUUAAUUUUAGGGCCAGGAGGGGGUGGGGGAAAGUCCCUACUGCAUCUGGUUUGUGUUAAGUCCUUCCCUUCAGAAAAGGGCUGUGUUUAUGGUUCAAAUCCGGCAGAGAUGGGGCGAGAGGGGCUCCACUUUCCCGUACUAGGCAGUGGGGCACAGGGAAUGCACAGAGCUUCCUUCGGGUCCUCCGACCCCAUCCCAAGAUAAAUGGUUCCAACUUUGAGAAAACUUCCACAUCCAUUUUACCCCUGAGGUUAAAGCAGGCAUUUGCUUCCAGCAGCUGGGCUUUGCAGGCAGAGCUGCAGAGUUCGCAGAGUUGGCCGGCUGUCAGCCUGGCUUGUCUGGCGUCUGAGGGUCCCGGAUGGGUCAGCAGUGCUGCUGGCUCCCGCAGGCCUCCCAGCCGUGAUUCCGGGAUUGAGGGCUUGCGUCCAGGAGGCCCAGGUUGUCAGAGCUGGAAGGUCCUGCAAAGACCACAUCCAGUCCCUUCUUGACAGAUAAGGAACUGGAGGCCCAGAGGGCUGAAGAAGCUUGUCCAAGCCCUGGCUCAGUUCCGGCACAUCACCCAGCUUUCAGGGAAGUCUAGAGUUUCAGAGCCGAAAGGAGCCUUCGAUAGCAAAGGGUCCAUCCCCUGCAAGUUACAGUUCUUUCUGCCCCAGGCCAUUUCUCUCCCAGAGGGUUAGCCUGUGAACGAUUGCUGGCCGAGGAGUUCCAGAGACUAAUGCAACGCUUCCUAGCUCCUUUGGAGAAAAGGUCUAUUUCUUGCUAACAGAGCAGGCUCUCCUCUCCUGCUCCCUGCUCUACCCACAGUCGACCACUAUCUCAAGUCAGGCCCCCAAAUACGCUCACACCGCAGAGCAGACUGGUUGCUGCCUGCUGUCUGGAAUGGACCUCCACCACGUGCCGCCGACCUGCCCCCUGCAGGGAUCUGUGUAUCGUUCCCCUGGGUGCUCAGUCUGUGUCUCACUGGUGGGGUGUGUAGUUAUCUGUCAGCUUGACCAUGGCUUCCUGAGAGCUGGGCCCUCUCUCGUUCUAGUAGUCACUGGUCUAGUGCCCUAUACUUAGUGGAUGCUCAGUGAGAGAAAGAGAAAGUGGAAAGAAUUUGGAAUUUGGUUAGGGAACUCCUGGUUUGGGGUUUGAGGCCUGUUCUUUGCCAGCUGAGUUACUUAACAUUCCUGAGCCUCAGUUUUUCCAUCUCUAAAAUGGGGGAUCAAAAUCUAGCUCUUAGGGCUUCCCUGAUGGCGCAGUGGUUAAGAAUCCACCUGCCAAUGCGGGGGACAUGGGUUCGAGCCCUGAUCCGGGAAGAUCCCACAUGCCGUGGAGCAACUAAGCCUGUGCUCCACAACUACUGAAGCCUGCGUGCCUAGAGCCUGUGCUCCACAACGAGAAGCCACCGCGAUGAGAAGCCUGUGCACCUCAACGAAGAGUAGCCCCUGCUCUCUGCAACUAGAGAAAGCCGGCGUGCAGCAACGAAGACCCAACACAGCCAAAAAAAAAAAAAAAAAAAAUCUACCUCUUGUUGUGAAGAGUAAAUGUGAUAAUCAAUACAAAGUGCUUGGUAAGUGUCACUAAAUGUCAGCUGUGUCAUUGUUGUGCCCUCUAAGUGGGAGAGACGUUACCAGCCGCCAGGCCUGGGGGAGGACUCUGCAGGAAGGCGAGGUUUUAGGCUAUGGCGCUCUCCCUCUGCUUCUCGGGUGUCUGGUCCCUGGAGAGACUGGGUGAGAGAGGAAGGGGCUGUGUGAUGCUGUCUGGCUGGGUGGUGGCAGUCUCCUCUGCAGGAGGAAACUGCUUCCUCUCCAGGGAGUCCGCAGCUGCUCGGAGCCCUCGUGGGGCCGGCUGCUGCUCGCUGAGCAGGGAUUGUGUGUUGGGGGGAAGAAGGGGUCCGGGGUGCCUUGGGCUUCGUUCCAGAUGUGACAUGUCUUCUGAUCUCAGCACCCUUCCCUGCCAGGCCUUCUUGGAGCCCCGCUCCCUGGCACCAGGAGGUCUGGCUCGGAACUGCCCCUGCCGUGGUUGCUGUAUGACUGUUUCUUAGGGGGGGUCCUACCUACCU
Orcinus orca (killer whale) is the source of this 5812-nucleotide long non-coding RNA. RefSeq lists it as uncharacterized. The transcript is spliced from 3 exons. The record is from RefSeq and is a predicted model, not a curated record. NCBI's taxonomy places the organism in Eukaryota, Metazoa, Chordata, Mammalia, Artiodactyla, Delphinidae.